CCCCUAGACGUUCUGGGCUGCACGCGCGCUACAAUAAUACGCACAGCGAGUAUCACCGAGCUCGAAAGGGCAAGGUAAACAAUAGAAAAGGUACUGUAAUGGUUAUAGAUCCUUGUAAUUAUUGAUCUUCAACGAGGAAUUCCUAGUAAGUAUGUGUCACCAUCACGCACUGAUUACGUCCCUGCCCUUUGUACACACCGCCCGUCGCUCCUACCGAUUGGGUGAGCCGAUGAAACUCUCGGAUGUAGGCUAUUCAUAGCCCGCAGAAGAGAUUUGAAUCGUAGCGCUUAGAGGAAGGAGAAGUCGUAACA
This 311-nucleotide ribosomal RNA is filed under the name uncultured eukaryote. RNAcentral's name for it is "partial 18S ribosomal RNA". It matches the Rfam family "Eukaryotic small subunit ribosomal RNA", at positions 1470 to 1796 of the family's 1831-position model. The record is from RNAcentral.